GUGCGUCACUUCGACAGCACAUAUACUAAAAUGAGAACAAUACAGAGAAGACUCAUAUGGCCCCUGUGCAAAAAUGGCACAUAAAUUCAUGAAGUGUUCCAUGUUUCU
Small nuclear RNA from Mirounga angustirostris (Northern elephant seal), 108 nucleotides. NCBI's taxonomy places the organism in Eukaryota, Metazoa, Chordata, Mammalia, Carnivora, Phocidae. The record is from RefSeq and is a predicted model, not a curated record.